This 21-nucleotide microRNA is filed under the name Ananas comosus (pineapple). RNAcentral's name for it is "microRNA s0655_c86a". Lineage: Eukaryota; Viridiplantae; Streptophyta; Magnoliopsida; Poales; Bromeliaceae. The record is from RNAcentral.
ACUUGGCAGUACUACCAACCC